UCGACGUAAGAUGACUGUAGGUGAAAGCUUACAUCUCUUCGGAGCAUUUUACGAGGUGCUGCAUGGUUGUCGUCAGCUCGUGCCGUGAGGUGUCGGGUUAAGUCCCAUAACGAGCGCAACCCUACCUUUAGUUGCCAUCAGGUAAUGCUGGGGACUCUAAAGGAACUGCCUACGCAAGUAGUGAGGAAGGCGGGGAUGACGUCAAAUCAGCACGGCCCUUACGUCCAGGGCUACACACGUGCUACAAUGGCCGAUACAGAGGGCAGCUACCUGGUGACAGGAUGCAAAUCUCCAAAGUCGGUCUCAGUUCGGAUCGGAGUCUGCAACCCGACUCCGUGAAGUUGGAUUCGCUAGUAAUCGCGCAUCAGCCAUGGCGCGGUGAAUACAUUCCCGGGCCUU
This 399-nucleotide ribosomal RNA is filed under the name uncultured Sphingobacteriales bacterium. Its description in RNAcentral is "bacterial SSU rRNA". It matches the Rfam family "Bacterial small subunit ribosomal RNA", at positions 981 to 1382 of the family's 1533-position model. The record is from RNAcentral. Lineage: Bacteria; Pseudomonadati; Bacteroidota; Sphingobacteriia; Sphingobacteriales.